RNAcentral lists this ribosomal RNA (254 nucleotides) under uncultured prokaryote. RNAcentral describes it as "partial 16S ribosomal RNA". It matches the Rfam family "Bacterial small subunit ribosomal RNA", at positions 521 to 774 of the family's 1533-position model. The record is from RNAcentral.
UAAUACGUAGGGUGCGAGCGUUAAUCGGAAUUACUGGGCGUAAAGUGUGCGCAGGCGGCGUCGCAAGUCGAGUGUGAAAUCCCCGGGCUUAACUUGGGAAUUGCGCUCGAAACUACGGUGCUGGAGUGUGGCAGAGGAAGGUGGAAUUCCACGUGUAGCGGUGAAAUGCGUAGAGAUGUGGAGGAACACCAAUGGCGAAGGCAGCCUUCUGGGCCAACACUGACGCUCAUGCACGAAAGCGUGGGGAGCAAACA